UCUGGAGUCAUGCCGGAUAGGGGUACAAU
RNAcentral lists this non-coding RNA (29 nucleotides) under Rattus norvegicus (Norway rat). Lineage: Eukaryota; Metazoa; Chordata; Mammalia; Rodentia; Muridae. The record is from RNAcentral.